Molecule: ribosomal RNA, 52 nt
Filed under: Cordyceps gunnii
Lineage: Eukaryota; Fungi; Ascomycota; Sordariomycetes; Hypocreales; Cordycipitaceae
Description: partial 18S ribosomal RNA
Source: RNAcentral
AGAGUUAAAAGUCGAACAAGGUCUCCGUUGGUGAACCAGCGGAGGAUCAUUA